CCCUUAGAUGUUCUGGGCUGCACGCGCGCUACACUGACGCACGCAACAGGUGCCUGCUCCGAGAGGACUGGGUAAUCAUUUGAGUGUGCGUCGUGAUGGGGAUAGAAUAUUGUAAUUAUUACUCUUCAACGAGGAAUUCCUAGUAAGCGCCAGUCAGCAGCUUGCGCUGAUUACGUCCCUGCCCUUUGUACACACCGCCCGUCGCUCCUACCGAUGGGUGAUCCGGUGAAUGAUUCGGACUUCAGCGGCUCCCCUGGGGUGCGCCGGAGAAAGUUUUGUGAACCUGAUCACUGGGAGGAAGGAGAAGUCGUAACA
Molecule: ribosomal RNA, 315 nt
Filed under: uncultured eukaryote
Lineage: Eukaryota
Description: partial 18S ribosomal RNA
Rfam family: Eukaryotic small subunit ribosomal RNA
Source: RNAcentral